GUGUGGACCAGAAGUGAGAGGCCAGGGCGUGGUGCAGCAAGGACCCAGCAGGCUGGGAGGCGGCACCUACCCUGUACCUGGGGCUCACGAGGCUGAGUCCGGCACGCAUCCUGCUCCAGGACAGCAGACAGGAGCAGCUGUGUUCAUUUGAGGAUUCUCAGCCCUGUCCCUCUCCGCCCAGCACCUGGUCUGGGAACAGCAGCGCUGAGUGGUGAAGUGCUGCACACAGCAUUUCCUUUACAGGCUUAUUGUUACUUAAAUGGAAAGUUUACCACGGUGGAUGCAGGCAAGAAAUGGAAAGCAAAUUUUGUUAAUCGGGAGCACAGAAUUCUGCAGUCAACUGACGAGUGUAGCAACACAGCAAGGACAGGAGGAUAUCGGACGGUUGCACUCGUGAUGACUGAGGAAUGUUUGUUUCAUCACAAAGUAAUAGAUUGGAAAAACCUGCAUACAUUACUGUCCAGGGGAGCCGUAAAUAAGACGAACUUCUUACACAAAGUAUCUUUUCUCGAGAGAGAGGUGGAUUUUUGCCAGAGCCAUUUCCAUUAAUUUCCUCACAGAGUGUCUUCGGCAAUCCUGACCCGCCGUGUGGAGGGAGCAUUCGGAGAGGCGCUGCCCGCUCUGCGAGCUCGCUGCCGCGCUGCUCAGUCAGGGGAUGCAUUGCCGAGGUAAAAGCUCUCUCUGAAAGUCAAUCAUUUGAAGAGUGGCGUCAAGAGGGGACUUUUGUGAUAUAAAAAUAACUGAACAGCAUUUCAUUCUGGUGAUUUGGACACUUUGUUCACAGGUAUAUUGCACAACUGGCUCUCUGCUGUGAAUUCAGAGGCUGAUCUUCCCUCCCUCCUUUCCUCCUCUCGCUUCCUUCUAUUUUAGUUUCGACAAAAAGUUCAUUUGUUUCUAUUUUUUUUUUUUUUUUUUUUUUUUUACAAAGGGUCCUGGAACUGUCUCCCUUGGAUACUAAGGGGCAAAAGUAUUCCUGUUUGGGACGAAGGGACUUUGAUACCAGUCAGGAGUACAUUGCACUUCCCUAAGAAUUGUCUACAAAGCCACCGUUACUACUGUGUAAUUUAAGAUCACAGAAAAAUGCUUGGUGGAAACACGAUGCAGUAAGAUCUUCGCACAGCUGUCAGAGGUUUCGCGCCCGUCCCCAUCCCCAUGGGCCUGCCAGGCCCCGCCCGACGCCACAGUCCUGUACCAAGGUUGUCUGGGUUGAGGACACAGUGAUAUUCUACUGUGUGCGUUUUUGAAUUGAAGAAUGUUUGCUAGGCUUUGGAAUGAGUGAACAGAGCAUGCUGGGAGAAACUACCUGUCUCUGUGUAUCUGUCUGUGUGUGGACCACCACUAGCCUGCUCAGGGGCUGCACAGUCUGUUCCCGCGCUCAGGACCUUUCAAAGCUGACCGGAAGU
Molecule: long non-coding RNA, 1403 nt
Filed under: Heterocephalus glaber (naked mole-rat)
Lineage: Eukaryota; Metazoa; Chordata; Mammalia; Rodentia; Bathyergidae
Description: lncRNA (ENSHGLG00100046322.1)
Source: RNAcentral